CGAGGGGAGUGAAAAAGAACCUGAAACCGUGUACGUACAAGCAGUGGGAGCACAGGUUUACCUGUGUGACUGCGUACCUUUUGUAUAAUGGGUCAGCGACUUAUAUUCUGUAGCAAGGUUAACCGUAUAGGGGAGCCGUAGGGAAACCGAGUCUUAACCGGGCGUUAAGUUGCAGGGUAUAGACCCGAAACCCGGUGAUCUAGCCAUGGGCAGGUUGAAGGUUGGGUAACACUAACUGGAGGACCGAACCGACUAAUGUUGAAAAAUUAGCGGAUGACCUGUGGCUGGGGGUGAAAGGCCAAUCAAACCGGGAGAUAGCUGGUUCUCCCCGAAAGCUAUUUAGGUAGCGCCUCGUGAAUUCAUCUCCGGGGGUAGAGCACUGUUUCGGCUAGGGGGCCAUCCCGGCUUACCAACCCGAUGCAAACUGCGAAUACCGGAGAAUGUUAUCACGGGAGACACACGGCGGGUGCUAACGUCCGUCGUGAAGAGGGAAACAACCCAGACCGCCAGCUAAGGUCCCAAAGUCAUGGUUAAGUGGGAAACGAUGUGGGAAGGCCCAGACAGCCAGGAUGUUGGCUUAGAAGCAGCCAUCAUUUAAAGAAAGCGUAAUAGCUCACUGGUCGAGUCGGCCUGCGCGGAAGAUGUAACGGGGCUAAACCAUGCACCGAAGCUGCGGCAGCGAACGUAUCACCCAAGACAACUUUACGGAGUUGACGAUUGACGGAGCGAAGCGACGUCAAAGCGUUCAUUAAAGUCGAGUUGGCUUAGGGAUACGUUCGUUGGGUAGGGGAGCGUUCUGUAAGCCUGUGAAGGUGUGUCGUGAGGCAUGCUGGAGGUAUCAGAAGUGCGAAUGCUGACAUAAGUAACGAUAAAGCGGGUGAAAAGCCCGCUCGCCGGAAGACCAAGGGUUCCUGUCCAACGUUAAUCGGGGCAGGGUGAGUCGACCCCUAAGGCGAGGCCGAAAGGCGUAGUCGAUGGGAAACGGGUUAAUAUUCCCGUACUUGGUGUUACUGCGAAGGGGGGACGGAGAAGGCUAUGUUGGCCGGGCGACGGUUGUCCCGGUUUAAGCGUGUAGGUGUGUGUUCCAGGUAAAUCCGGUUCACUUUAACACUGAGGCGUGACGACGAGGCACUACGGUGCUGAAGCAACAAAUGCCCUGCUUCCAGGAAAAGCCUCUAAGCAUCAGGUAACACGAAAUCGUACCCCAAACCGACACAGGUGGUCAGGUAGAGAAUACCAAGGCGCUUGAGAGAACUCGGGUGAAGGAACUAGGCAAAAUGGUGCCGUAACUUCGGGAGAAGGCACGCUGACACGUAGGUGAAGUGAUUUACUCAUGGAGCUGAAGUCAGUCGAAGAUACCAGCUGGCUGCAACUGUUUAUUAAAAACACAGCACUGUGCAAACACGAAAGUGGACGUAUACGGUGUGACGCCUGCCCGGUGCCGGAAGGUUAAUUGAUGGGGUCAGCGCAAGCGAAGCUCCUGAUCGAAGCCCCGGUAAACGGCGGCCGUAACUAUAACGGUCCUAAGGUAGCGAAAUUCCUUGUCGGGUAAGUUCCGACCUGCACGAAUGGCGUAAUGAUGGCCAGGCUGUCUCCACCCGAGACUCAGUGAAAUUGAACUCGCUGUGAAGAUGCAGUGUACCCGCGGCAAGACGGAAAGACCCCGUGAACCUUUACUAUAGCUUGACACUGAACAUUGAGCCUUGAUGUGUAGGAUAGGUGGGAGGCUUUGAAGUGUGGACGCCAGUCUGCAUGGAGCCGACCUUGAAAUACCACCCUUUAAUGUUUGAUGUUCUAACGUGGACCCGUAAUCCGGGUUGCGGACAGUGUCUGGUGGGUAGUUUGACUGGGGCGGUCUCCUCCUAAAGAGUAACGGAGGAGCACGAAGGUUGGCUAAUCCUGGUCGGACAUCAGGAGGUUAGUGCAAUGGCAUAAGCCAGCUUGACUGCGAGCGUGACGGCGCGAGCAGGUGCGAAAGCAGGUCAUAGUGAUCCGGUGGUUCUGAAUGGAAGGGCCAUCGCUCAACGGAUAAAAGGUACUCCGGGGAUAACAGGCUGAUACCGCCCAAGAGUUCAUAUCGACGGCGGUGUUUGGCACCUCGAUGUCGGCUCAUCACAUCCUGGGGCUGAAGUAGGUCCCAAGGGUAUGGCUGUUCGCCAUUUAAAGUGGUACGCGAGCUGGGUUUAGAACGUCGUGAGACAGUUCGGUCCCUAUCUGCCGUGGGCGCUGGAGAACUGAGGGGGGCUGCUCCUAGUACGAGAGGACCGGAGUGGACGCAUCACUGGUGUUCGGGUUGUCAUGCCAAUGGCACUGCCCGGUAGCUAAAUGCGGAAGAGAUAAGUGCUGAAAGCAUCUAAGCACGAAACUUGCCCCGAGAUGAGUUCUCCCUGAGACUUAGAGUCUCCUGAAGGAACGUUGAAGACGACGACGUUGAUAGGCCGGGUGUGUAAGCGCAGCGAUGCGUUGAGCUAACCGGUACUAAUGAACCGUGAGGCUUAACCUUACA
RNAcentral lists this ribosomal RNA (2506 nucleotides) under Salmonella enterica subsp. enterica serovar Typhimurium. Its description in RNAcentral is "partial 23S ribosomal RNA". It matches the Rfam family "Bacterial large subunit ribosomal RNA", at positions 530 to 2925 of the family's 2925-position model. Lineage: Bacteria; Pseudomonadati; Pseudomonadota; Gammaproteobacteria; Enterobacterales; Enterobacteriaceae. The record is from RNAcentral.